This 275-nucleotide ribosomal RNA is filed under the name uncultured bacterium. Its description in RNAcentral is "partial 16S ribosomal RNA". It matches the Rfam family "Bacterial small subunit ribosomal RNA", at positions 523 to 796 of the family's 1533-position model. The record is from RNAcentral.
AUACGUAGGGAGCAAACGUUGUCCGGAUUUAUUGGGCGUAAAGGGCUCGUAGGCGGUUCAACAAGUCGGUCGUGAAAGCCCGGGGCUCAACCCCGGGACGCCGGUCGAAACUGUUGUGACUAGAGUUCGGUAGAGGUGAGUGGAAUUCUCGGCGUAGCGGUGGAAUGCGCAGAUAUCGAGAGGAACACCAUUAGCGAAGGCGGCUCACUGGGCCGAUACUGACGCUGAGGAGCGAAAGCGUGGGGAGCAAACAGGAUUAGAAACCCCAGUAGUCC